Paramormyrops kingsleyae is the source of this 2890-nucleotide long non-coding RNA. RefSeq lists it as uncharacterized. Lineage: Eukaryota; Metazoa; Chordata; Actinopteri; Osteoglossiformes; Mormyridae. The record is from RefSeq and is a predicted model, not a curated record.
GGGCAGAUGCGCUGACUCCGGAGUCCGAAAGAGCCCUGCCGCUAGACUCGCAGCAAGUACUCAAUGAAUUUGUAGUCAUCAGGAACUGAGGAACCUGAAGCUUGUUCCCAGAAACCUUGGGGAUGUCAGACAGGGUUGAGGACAUCACCCUCUGAUCUUUCCCGUCACGUCUCGACAAUCCCACUGCAAGCGUGACUUCCAGUUUACAUGUGUUUGUGAGGCCAGCAGCAACAGGAGCGGUGCCCCCUGCACACGCGUGUGCCAAAUGUUGCUUGUGUCACGGAUGACACCCCAUGUCUUCCCUCAGGCGCCAGAAUCUAACAGUCAAGACUGUUCUCCAGUGUACCCUGUCCUGAAGCCAAAGAUCCUUGUGUCCGGGGGCGGAAGCGUGUGAAAACCCACAAGGGCAGCCCCCCCCCCGGCCCUCGCUCCAGUGCCCAGGGUGAGAGAAGAGGCCCGCAUUUGAUGCCUGACUGACCAAAUCUUCUGCCUGAUAGUUGGCUCUAUUCCCCGCGGUUCAGAGGACCGCGAUCAGAAGUGCAGUGGCUGAAGAGGAGAGGCCGCGGUAAUUGUAUCAAGGUCCGCUGAGAUUUCCUCAAACAGUUCCCUGUAAAAGGAAGAGGAGUCCCAGGGCGCCAGCAGAAACUACUCCAGAAUGGGCAAAAAAAUUCCCCACUCAUAGACGAAUAACAAUCAAUUUAUAGCGGGGGGUGACCUGUGCGUCAACUCACAUACAGCGCCUUCGCUACUGUCACCCCUCCGGACAAGACAAAUACAGCUUUACCACAACAGCACUCACUGACUGGUUAAACAUAUGCUAGAAUGGACAAAAAUAACCAGAUGUUCUGUGGAUUGGCAAAUUGUUACGGAAGAGCAAUUAUGCUAUUUAAUAAGAAUGAUACACAUACUAUAAUAAAUAUAAAUAGUUGUUAUUACAAUUAUCACACAUUUACAAACAUCUACAAAUAAAUGAGCCAGUGAAGAUAUACAAAUUUAGACAUACUGUACAUUUUCCACUGCCCACUCAAUUCACUCUAUCAAGAUGCUUUUGACCUGCUGUGUGCAAAAAAUAAUCUUUUUUUACUCCAGAGAAUGAUGGCAUGAUACACACUAUCACAAUACGAUACGCAAAAUUAUAUACAAUAGAUUCGCUGUAGAGACCCCCUUUUAAGAAGAAGGUACUACUGAAUUUUUAAUGACUUAUCUGAGUGCGGAGUUCAAACGGCCUUACAGGAAUCCGGAACACAAGCGCUCGUUAAACUCCACAGCCCCAUAUGGUCGUCAAAUGUGGCAUGUUCCUGAGCAUAUUAAAUGAAUCGCCUUGCAUGCUUCUUUAUUCCGGAAUUUUCCGGCACUGAUACUGUGAGAAGUGGGGCUUAAAGAUGUGGCAACAUUUUUGAAGGUUCACGAUCUGUAAUCCUACAUUGUUUCCUGUCACCUACCAGUGUCACAUCGGUGGGAAAAUACUUAAGUAAACACAGGCAAAAGAAAAAUUAUAGUUCAAUGUCAACGGUAAAUGGGACAUGGAUUAAAUUGCUAGUUUGGGGACAAAUUAAUAAAUCAAUUAAAUAUAAAUAUAUGCAUAGUUAAAUGAAUUAGCUUAAAAGAUUUAUAAAAUGUAUAAUAUCAAAAACCACACGUUUUCUAAUGUCUAAAGAUGCCCAAAUAUAACCAUCAAAAAGAAACUAGGCAGAGUAGAAGUACCGUAUUCCAUACGCACAUUUAUUCCAUAUGCAUAUUUCAUAGAUAUACUUCAUAAUCCAUGGAUCUCAAAUUUGUUGUGUUUACUUGCAUUGAAGAGUUGGAUUGAACUGAUGAUUGAAGAUGUCAUAAAUCCAAUUUCUCAGGACAUACAAUACAAUAACUGAUUGAGCAGUUUCAUCUCGGAAAAGCCGUGCGAAGCACCAGUGAUGCUAACGGGAUUCUUAAAAAAAACUUUUAUUUUAUUUGUUAAUCUCAAUAAAUAUGUACACUUCUCAAAAGAAAUUCUACUGGAAUUCUAUACUACUGGACACUAUACAAUAUAAAUCAGAGCGCUGGUCAGAGUCGCAUGUGUUGUGAUCCAGCUUCCGUGAAUCUGGUCUCUGGUCCUGUGGUAGAACAGCAUAGUAAAGCUGAUGUAUAUCCUGAGACAAGUUUGAAUGUAUUAAGGCCAGACUUCUUAAAGACUGAUUAUUGUGCUGUUUUUUUAAAAAAAAUAAAAAUUUUAAGGAUUGCUCACAUAGACCAUCUGGACAAACACAACAAUGCUACAUAAACAGUCAAAUGCAAACAGAUACAUCUCUGAGGUCAUUACUCAAUGAAAAGCUCAGGGAUGAUUGAUUGUUAUGGAUCUAGUUUAGAACCACUUGUCCUGGACACACUGGAGUGGGACGGGUGGGACUAGAGCCUAUCCCAGUCUGUACAGGGCUGAGGAACGUCCCAGACAGGAUUCCAGGCAAUUGCAAGGCUCACACAAGCAACGAACAAUUUAAUGAUGCAAAUCAAACUAAUCGCAUCUCAUUGGGCUGCAGGAGGGCCAGGAGAAAACACACUCAACUAGAGCAGAUAAUACAUCUUAGAAGAAAAUAUCCCCCCAACAACUGUGUACUGGAUAAGUGAUUAGGAGAGGAAAGGAUGGAGGGGGGAGUUUCCCGAAGUCUUCUUAACGCUACGUCGUUUGUAAGUUCUAGCUAUUAACAUAGACGACGUAGCGUUAAAAAGGCUCUGGGAAACUCACCCCAGAGUGAUCCCAGCUCUACAUCUUGUUUCACCAGACGUUUUGACCAGAUAAUCUAUCUGAAGCUAAGCCAGUUUAGGCCUGCCCAGUAUCUGGAUACGUGACUAACUGGGAAAGCUGGGUUGCUGCUGGGAGAGGCGUUGGUGUGGCCCAUCCUGUGGUCUGUGUGGA